UGAUGCUAUAGCAUGCAAAUCUGUGGCCAACACCCUUAUAAAAGAAAUAGGAAAUCGACAGACAUGAUAAUUGAAUCCCAUGAAUUCCUUUUCGAGAAGUGAUGGAGUUGGAUGUUUUUGACAACCCAAGGAAAAAUUAAAAAAAAUAGAGUUCCAAAAUCAUAAGAUUUUGGAGAUAAAAUAAAUAUUAUUCGUUAAAUCUAAGGGUUCAAGAGGAUGAAAUUGUUGAGACCCAAAAAAUCCACAGUUAGGCCCG
This 256-nucleotide long non-coding RNA is filed under the name Prunus persica (peach). Its description in RNAcentral is "long non-coding RNA (PPER_LNC000734)". Lineage: Eukaryota; Viridiplantae; Streptophyta; Magnoliopsida; Rosales; Rosaceae. The record is from RNAcentral.